GUGGCGAACGGGUGAGUAACACGUGGGCAAUCUGCCCUUCACUCUGGGACAAGCCCUGGAAACGGGGUCUAAUACCGGAUAACACUCUGUCCUGCAUGGGACGGGGUUAAAAGCUCCGGCGGUGAAGGAUGAGCCCGCGGCCUAUCAGCUUGUUGGUGGGGUAAUGGCCGACGAAGGCGACGACGGGUAGCCGGCCUGAGAGGGCGACCGGCCACACUGGGACUGAGACACGGCCCAGACUCCUACGGGAGGCAGCAGUGGGGAAUAUUGCACAAUGGGCGAAAGC
Molecule: ribosomal RNA, 286 nt
Filed under: Streptomyces microflavus
Lineage: Bacteria; Bacillati; Actinomycetota; Actinomycetes; Kitasatosporales; Streptomycetaceae
Description: partial 16S ribosomal RNA
Rfam family: Bacterial small subunit ribosomal RNA
Source: RNAcentral